CACGGGGGGGGGAAAUCCGAUCCCGGUGGGAGCUCAGUCCCUCCCGGCGGGAUCACCAAAUCCCAUCGCACUGCGCUGCCCCCACGGAACACACCCCCAUAUCCCCCGGGAGGGAACCCCGGCGCUGCGGGGGGGUCACGGGGCGGGGUCCUUCUCGGCACUCUCGGGGUGAGCUCCAUCCCCCCCCCCCGCUUCCUGCUGCUCCGUGCAGCGGUUGCUCCCCAUCCCCCCCCCCCCCCCCGGAGCUUUUCCUCCUCCCCGGGAGCUCCCCGCGGGCCGCCGCCUCGUGCCCCGGUUUCCCCGGAAUGAGACUCCUCCCGGAGCGCUUUUGGAGCCGCGGGGCCGUCGCUGUGGCACCGGGCGGGGCGGGGAACCGUUCCAGCUCCGGUGUGGGCCGGGCUGUGCCGAUACGGAACGUCCCGGGGGUCGGCGGAGAGCCCGGAGCUGUGCAGCUGUGGGCUGUGCCGGGGGUGGAGGGGGGCAGCAGCGGGCACGGCGUCCCCACAUCCUCCCAUCCCCUGCCUCGCGUCCCCGCCGCAGCCCCACAUCCCCACAUCCCCAUUCUCCCGUGCUCGCAUCUCCCCACAUCCUCAUGCCCGAAUUCCCGUCUCCCACAUCCCCACAUCCCCGUGCCGUCGUGUCCACGGGCCCCCACCUUUCCCCGCCCCCCCGAGUCCUCACAUCCCCGUGUUCCUACGUCUCCAGGUCCCCAAAACAUCCCCGUAUCCCCCCCUCCUCCCAUCCCCACGGCCCCGCCCCGUGUCCCGCUGCACCCGCGGUGCCCUCGCGGGGGGGUGGGGGUGGGGGGGGCUCUCCUUCCCGGUGCUGCAUUACCGCCCGGGGCCGGUAGGGGGCGCCGCUGUCCCCCCCCGGGGCAGAUAAAGGCGGCGGCGGCGGCGGCGGAGGCGGCAGAACGGCACCGGCAGCACCGGGGCAGCACCGGGCGGGACGGCGGGGCUGGGGGGGCCAUGGCGCGGCUGCUGCUGUGCUGUGCUGCCCUGCUGGCGGCAGGGACGGUCCAUGGCGAGGGGUCAACACCAUCGCAGCCCCGGCCCGGCUCAUCCGAAGCUGUCACCACGUGGGCACACAGCACUUCUUCACGCAGCUCAGGGACAGCCGAACCACAGACAUCGUCAUGGGACACAACUCGCGGCAGAGAGAGCUCAGCAGCACCUCUGUCUCCACCGCACACCUCUGCAACACCGUCUUCAACUGCGACCCCAAACGCUGCAACAGCUGAGCCUCCAUCCGGCCCUGCAGGAACGCCACCUCUGCCCACGGCGUCGAGCUCAGCGCCGCUGACCACAGCCCCAUCCAGCACCCCCCCCACAUCGGCUCCAUCCAACCUGACCACGGUGCCCAACCAUACGUGGUCCUCAGGCACGGCGCCCGCCCCGUCCUCCCCUGGGCGCCCCACUCCCACCCCCAGCUCUGCCGUGCCCACCGCCAGCUCCGCUCCUGGCACUGCCUCUGCCCUCAGCUCCAGCACUGCACGGCUGCUCGGGGCCGGCAGCCUGGCACAGCCCUCCUCCAAACCCAACCCCGGAGUGGUGGUGGUCGUCUGCCUCUUCGUGGCGGUGCUGGUGGGGGCCGUGGCCAUGCUGCUGGUGCGGCUGCGCUGCUGCGGGAAGCCCCGCUUCCAACGGCUGGAUGAGGUGCCCAUGGGCAAAGUGUCGGAGGAGUCCCACUUCGCCCGCCACCCCCCCAGGUGACCCCGCCGUGCCCAAUAAAGACGCUGCAGCCAUGGCUUUGGUUUCCCAUCUGCGCUGCACCCCCAUGGGUGUCAAAUGCCCGGGGGAGGGGAACCCCGAG
Molecule: long non-coding RNA, 1812 nt
Organism: Gallus gallus (chicken)
Lineage: Eukaryota; Metazoa; Chordata; Aves; Galliformes; Phasianidae
Source: Ensembl